UUUUCCAGUGAACUAAGAACUUACUAAAACACCAGUCAUGUACUACAGAAAUUAGAAAAUUAUAUUUGUCAUGUUUGGUUCUUUUCUGAACAGGACUAAUAGGCAACAGACUCCAGGAACAAUCUCAUUUAUGUUCUCUGGACCCAUGCCUUAUGCCAGUUAGUAAUGCGUUGAACUAUUAGUAUUCUUCCAAGCUAAUCAAUGCACCAUGCUUCUUGUUUC
This 222-nucleotide long non-coding RNA is filed under the name Hordeum vulgare. RNAcentral's name for it is "long non-coding RNA (HVUL_LNC003794)". The record is from RNAcentral. Lineage: Eukaryota; Viridiplantae; Streptophyta; Magnoliopsida; Poales; Poaceae.